RNAcentral lists this ribosomal RNA (468 nucleotides) under uncultured bacterium. RNAcentral describes it as "partial 16S ribosomal RNA". It matches the Rfam family "Bacterial small subunit ribosomal RNA", at positions 28 to 507 of the family's 1533-position model. The record is from RNAcentral.
GACGAACGCUGGCGGCGUGCUUAACACAUGCAAGUCGAACGGAAAGGCCCUGCUUUUGUGGGGUGCUCGAGUGGCGAACGGGUGAGUAACACGUGAGUAACCUGCCCUUGACUUUGGGAUAACUUCAGGAAACUGGGGCUAAUACCGGAUAGGAGCUCCUGCUGCAUGGUGGGGGUUGGAAAGUUUCGGCGGUUGGGGAUGGACUCGCGGCUUAUCAGCUUGUUGGUGGGGUAGUGGCUUACCAAGGCUUUGACGGGUAGCCGGCCUGAGAGGGUGACCGGCCACAUUGGGACUGAGAUACGGCCAAGACUCCUACGGGAGGCAGCAGUGGGGAAUAUUGCACAAUGGGCGGAAGCCUGAUGCAGCAAUGCCGCGUGCGGGAUGACGGCCUUCGGGUUGUAAACCGCUUUCGCCUGUGACGAAGCGUGAGUGACGGUAAUGGGUAAAGAAGCACCGGCUAACUACGUG